Hydra vulgaris (swiftwater hydra) is the source of this 768-nucleotide non-coding RNA. The record is from RefSeq and is a predicted model, not a curated record. Lineage: Eukaryota; Metazoa; Cnidaria; Hydrozoa; Anthoathecata; Hydridae.
AUAUUUUACAUUUUAAAUAUGUUUCUUUUGUUUGAUUUUUUCUGUGUUUGAUUAUGAAACCCCAUCUACUAACAUAUUAAAACAGUGUACAAAAAGUGAUGUUACUAGAACUUAUAUUUUACUUAUGUAAAGCUUUCUAAUAUUCCAUCUUUCCGAGGCAGAGGGACAUUAUUCUUGGUUUAAUUAUUUUUUAAUUUAAUAUCUCUGGAUAUUUUUCAUAUUUAGUUUGCGUACAACAGUUAACAACUUUAAGCUUAUACAUUAACUUUAGUUAUAACUUAAUUAAUAAUGAUUUGAUUUAUAGAUUUUUAAAGCAAUACAAGAUUGAAUUUAGCAUAAGGCUACAUUUCUGCUCUGGAGACAAAAAAGGAAGACAGCAAAAAUGACCAGUCAAAAUAAAGAUUGAAGAGACAAAAAAUUGUGUAUAUCUUGGUGUAGAUGAUUUAUCCUCAUUUUUUUAUAAUAAAACAAAAAAUAUUAUUAAACUUUAGGAUUUACCUGUAACUCCAAAAUCUUUACAGAAGUUUAAUGUUUGCUCUGAGAAGUUGAAUGAACAAAUUUAUUAAAUGUGUUCAUUCUUAGUCGUCAUUGAAGUACAACUUGGUAAACUACAAAACACAUCAAAUUCAGUUAUAAAAAUUUGAGUAACAAAGGUAUACUAAUUAUUGUAUUGCCUGAAAAAGUGUCAUUGCUAUUAAAAGCAGUGAAGAAUUCAAGUACUCUGGAAGAAAAGAAAAUACGUAAGUAAAUGGUUGUGUAUUUUUGCAU